Molecule: long non-coding RNA, 330 nt
Filed under: Capsicum annuum
Lineage: Eukaryota; Viridiplantae; Streptophyta; Magnoliopsida; Solanales; Solanaceae
Description: long non-coding RNA (CANN_LNC002709)
Source: RNAcentral
AUUUACUAACCAAGGCUAUUAGAUAGUGGUAUCGUCAUAUUGGCUAUAACUUGUAAGUAUUGUCCUUAGCCAAACCUUUUUGUGAUCAAGGGAUUCCCAUGUACCCCAUAAGUAGGUUUAUUAAGCCAAACCAUUCCUUUAAACCAUUCCAAAACCAUUUAAGAAAUUUAGGGUUCCAUUACCAAGUUUAAACCAUGCAUAAGUUCCAUUGAAAAUCCAAUCAUAUAGUGAAAACAUUGUUAUAGGCAUUUAUCAAACACAUUAAGGGCAUAGUAUUUCCAAAACCAAUUACAAUUAUCAAUAACCAUUCCCAUGCAAUCCAAUUAUCCA